UGGUUUAAUUCGACGCAACGCGAAGAACCUUUACCAGGGCUUUGACAUGCCGCUGACCGGUUUAGAGAUAGAUCUUUUACCCCUUCGGGGUACAGCGGACACAGGUGGUGCAUGGUUGUCGUCAGCUCGUGUCGUUGAGAUGUUGGGUUAAGUCCCGCAACGAGCACAACCCUUGUCUUUAGUUGCCAUCAUUAAGUUGGGCACUCUAAAGAGACUGCCGAUGACAAAUCGGAGGAAGGUGGGGAUGACGUCAAAUCAUCAUGCCCUUUAUGUCCUGGGCUACACACGUGCUACAAUGGUCGGUACAACGAGAAGCAAGCCAGCGAUGGCAAGCAAAUCUCUAAAAGCCGAUCCCAGUUCGGAUUGCAGGCUGCAACUCGCCUGCAUGAAGUCGGAGUUGCUAGUAAUCGCGGAUCAGAAUGCCGCGGUCGAAUACGUUCCCGGGCCUU
RNAcentral lists this ribosomal RNA (449 nucleotides) under uncultured Eubacteriales bacterium. Its description in RNAcentral is "bacterial SSU rRNA". It matches the Rfam family "Bacterial small subunit ribosomal RNA", at positions 942 to 1382 of the family's 1533-position model. Lineage: Bacteria; Bacillati; Bacillota; Clostridia; Eubacteriales. The record is from RNAcentral.